Cordylochernes scorpioides is the source of this 76-nucleotide non-coding RNA. The record is from the annotation of a GenBank genome assembly. Lineage: Eukaryota; Metazoa; Arthropoda; Arachnida; Pseudoscorpiones; Chernetidae.
GUCCAGGAGCGGGAAUCUGGACAUGGCACCUGCCCGGUAAGCAGAAGGUUGUGGGUUCGAUUCCCGCUCCUGGACA